UACGAAGGGGGCUAGCGUUGUUCGGAAUAACUGGGCGUAAAGCGCACGUAGGCGGAUUGUUAAGUCAGAGGUGAAAUCCCGGGGCUCAACCCCGGAACUGCCUUUGAUACUGGCAAUCUUGAGUCCGAGAGAGGUGAGUGGAAUUCCGAGUGUAGAGGUGAAAUUCGUAGAUAUUCGGAGGAACACCAGUGGCGAAGGCGGCUCACGGGCUCGGUAAUGACCAUGAGGUGCGAAAGCGUGGGGAGCAAACAGG
Molecule: ribosomal RNA, 253 nt
Filed under: uncultured bacterium
Lineage: Bacteria
Description: partial 16S ribosomal RNA
Rfam family: Bacterial small subunit ribosomal RNA
Source: RNAcentral